AGUGGGAUGCAUGGACCCUCUUCCAGGUAGAUCAUGCCACUAAUCGUACCCAGUUUGGGGAGAAAAUUCACAACUUUGGGCUGAUCCAGGAGAAGCUGGCACGGAUGGUUAUGCUGCAGUAUGUAACUGAGGUGCCUGCCAGCAGUACCAGAAGUUAAUUCUACCUCAUCCCUUACAUCCACCCCUUUUAAGAAAACAAAUACCUGGAAGCACCUGAUGAACUGACCCAGAACAAGUAUCUGCCUGACCUGACAAGCUAGGUCAGCCCUUAUCUUGGAGAUCUGGGUGAUGAGGCCAAGUCUGACAAAGCCCUUUGCAAUUUUCCUUCCCAUGUCCCAACCAUGCAACCUCAGUCCAUGGCUUACAUGGUGAGUGCUAACAUGGACCAGGGAGCCACGGACUUCCAGAUAGAGGCCGCCAUCAGCAAAAUCUUUGGCUCGGAGGCAGCCUGGAAGGUG
RNAcentral lists this small RNA (458 nucleotides) under Pan troglodytes (chimpanzee). RNAcentral's name for it is "retained intron". Lineage: Eukaryota; Metazoa; Chordata; Mammalia; Primates; Hominidae. The record is from RNAcentral.